UCUAGAACUCCUGUCCUCAGGUGAUCCGCCAGCCUCAGCCUCCCUAAGUGCUGUGAUUAUAGGCGUUGAGUCACCAUGCCCAGCUGCAUCCUGUUUCUUUCAGGAACAUCACCUAUGAUGGUUUUACAGCAUAGCUAUUAACUUCCUGCUAAUGCUUCUGAUGUAUACAUAAACAUAACAAACCCUGCUGGUGUCAUCAUUUCAUUUCACAAAUUAAGACUGUGACUGUGAUAUGGUUUGGAUAUCUGUCCUCUCCAAAUCUCACCUUGAAAUGUGAUUCCCAGUGUUGGAGGUGGGGCCUUUUAUGGGGGCUGAUUGGCUUACGGUGCAGAUCCCUUGUGAAUGGUUUAGUACUAUCCCCCUGGUGAUAAGUGAGUUCUUACUCAGUUAAUGCAAGAUCUGGUUUUUCAAAGAGCGUAGCACCUCCCUCUCUCUGUCUCUUGCCCCUGCUCAGUCCAUGUGACAUGCUGCUUUCCACCAUGAGUGGAAGCUUCCUGAGGCCUCACCAGAAGCAGAUGCCAGCACCACACUUCCUGUACAGCCUGCAGAACCAUAAGCCAAUGAAACCUCUUUUCUUUAUAAAUUAUCCAGCCUCAUAUAUUCCUUUACAGCGACAUAAGAUUGGACUAACACAGGCUUAGAACAGUUAGUUAGAUAAUGUGCCCAAGACCAAACAGCUAUGGAGCCAGCUCUGGAUGUCAAGUCAGUGCGAGCAGUUGUUGCUCAUCACACUGUUGUUUCCUGGAGAACUUCACUCUAUCAAAGGAUAGAGGGAUCGCUGCAUUAACCCCAUCAUCACCAAAAGAACUUGGGGUCCACAGAGGCAAAGUAACAAGAGAGAGUAAUCAUUACCUACAAAGCUGGGAAACUUCCCACACUACCCUUCUCCAUGCACCAUCACCAAAGGAGACUUUACUUCUCCAACUAAAUUAUAAGCUCCUUAAGGACUGGGACUCCACUGUCUUAACAGUGUGGCACUCUCUAAGAACUAGCAGAGCAUGGCAUGCAAAGAUACCCGCCAGCAACCGUGAUUAUUUGUGUUCUAAGAAAAAGAGCCCCAUCCAUCUUACUUGCGAUAAUUCCAGCAAGUGUCCACCCCAGAAGCUCUGUCAGUCACAUGCACUUCCUUUAAGAUGGUCUGUGUCUGGGUGUCUGGCUCAGGAUACCUAGUUAGAACUAGUUAGAUCACUGCACAAGGAAACUUCAUGAACAUUACUUUUUUAUGUCUAAAACAAUGAAACCUUGAACUGUCAGGAGGGUGAAAUAAAGCCAGCAGGUCAUUUAUUGGUGAGGAAUUGGGGCAUAGAGCUCCAGGGAGCCCACAGUCAUCCUGGGGCAGGUGCCAGCCACCCAGUGGAGUUAUUAAUAUAUGAACUUUGCCUCUGCUCACCCACGCUGCCUGCUGAUUUUUAUACUAUGUUGCAUAAUUAAUCUGUCAACAUUCUGUGACAGAGUAUAAAUAUUAAUAAUAUGAUCACACAGCUAGCUGUUCCCUUUAAAAUUCAGCGCCGAAAAGAUAAAUCGGCCACUUAAUCUUGCUAGAUUCCAAAAAGGGGAGGAAAGAGUGGGGCAGGAGGUGGAGACAGGAAGGAGAGGGAGAGGGAGAGGUUGGGAGCUAAUUGGGAAUGGCGGAAUCCUUGUUUGAAUCUGCUAGCUUAGUUCUUUCAUUCCCACAUAAUGAGAUACACCUUUUCUCUCUCUUUUUCUUUUUACUCAAGGGACAAAAAGCUCUCGUCUUUCCAUCUGGCAUUCCUCAUCUCUGGAUCGGCAUGAGCAGCAGUAAAUUCCAGGAGAGACCUGAGCCAACCAUCCCCUUUGUUUCCUGAAAGAAGAGAGGUUUAUGUUCUCCUGGAAGGCUGACCAGCAGUAACUUAGGAAAGCCGCAGGCCAGCAGCACACUGAAAUGCAGAUGUGAUUAGAUAAACCAGGGAGAGAAGGCAUGUUGUGUCAUUACAGCUUUACAUAAAGUGUCCUUUUCCAUUAAGCUUGCCAAGUGUUCUCGGUUGGUAUCAAUCAAACAGCUCCUAAAAACUUACAAUUUCCUAAAACUCUACCAAAUUGGCCUUUCAGCAGUCACUGCACUGGCCCCAGGCCACCCACACUGCUGCGUACUAGCAAGCCGCCCUCCACCUUCUACUUUCCACCUCCAUUUGUU
Non-coding RNA from Chlorocebus sabaeus (green monkey), 2155 nucleotides. The record is from RefSeq and is a predicted model, not a curated record. Lineage: Eukaryota; Metazoa; Chordata; Mammalia; Primates; Cercopithecidae.